This 492-nucleotide ribosomal RNA is filed under the name uncultured bacterium. RNAcentral describes it as "partial 16S ribosomal RNA". It matches the Rfam family "Bacterial small subunit ribosomal RNA", at positions 29 to 507 of the family's 1533-position model. The record is from RNAcentral.
AGUGAACGCUGGCGGUAGGCCUAACACAUGCAAGUCGAACGGCAGCACAGUAAGAGCUCGCUCUUACGGGUGGCGAGUGGCGGACGGGUGAGGAAUACAUCGGAAUCUACUUUUUCGUGGGGGAUAACGUAGGGAAACUUACGCUAAUACCGCAUACGACCUACGGGUGAAAGCAGGGGAUCUUCGGACCUUGCGCGAUUGAAUGAGCCGAUGUCGGAUUAGCUAGUUGGCGGGGUAAAGGCCCACCAAGGCGACGAUCCGUAGCUGGUCUGAGAGGAUGAUUCGGCCACACGGAACCUGAGCAACGUUCCGACCCCCUACGGAGGCCGGCGUGGGGAAUUUUUGACCAUGGGCGGAAGCCCUGUCCCGCCCUAACGGGUGGGUGAAGAAGGGCUUUCGGUUUGAAAGGCCCUUUGUUGGGAAAGAAAAGCAGCAGGUUAAUACCCCGCUGUUCUGACGGUACCCAAAGAAUAAGCACCGGCUAACUUCGUG